Oryza sativa Japonica Group (Japanese rice) is the source of this 188-nucleotide microRNA precursor. It matches the Rfam family "MIR812 microRNA precursor family". The record is from Rfam. NCBI's taxonomy places the organism in Eukaryota, Viridiplantae, Streptophyta, Magnoliopsida, Poales, Poaceae.
UUUAAGUGUAAGAGUUUUCAUAUCCAACUUUGAUCGUCCGUCUUAUUUGAAUUUUUUUAUAAUUAGUAUUUUGUUUGUUAUGAGAUGAUAAAACAUGAAUACUAUUUUACUCGUAACUUAUGUUUUUAUUUUUUUUAAAUAAGACUAACAAUCAAAGUUGGACGCGGAAAAUCAUGACUGCACUUAAA